This 1445-nucleotide unclassified non-coding RNA is filed under the name uncultured Neocallimastigales. RNAcentral's name for it is "partial contains small subunit ribosomal RNA, internal transcribed spacer 1, 5.8S ribosomal RNA, internal transcribed spacer 2, and large subunit ribosomal RNA". The stretch from base 675 to 1445 matches the Rfam family "Eukaryotic large subunit ribosomal RNA", at positions 1 to 630 of the family's 3401-position model. Lineage: Eukaryota; Fungi; Neocallimastigomycota; Neocallimastigomycetes; Neocallimastigales. The record is from RNAcentral.
UGGAAGUAAAAGUACGUAACAAGUUUCCGUAGGUGAACCUGCGGAAGAUCAUUAAAAAAUUCUGCCAUUGUUGGUGGAAACAAUAAUCAUCCUACCCUUUGUGAAUUUGUUUGUUUGAAAUAAUUUUUUAAAAGAAAAAUUAUUUAUAGUCUAUCCCUGGAUAGUUGGUUGGAGUGUAAAAGCGAAAACCGACUUUCAGGAAUAGUAUAUAAUUAAUUUUUCGUUUAAAGACCUUUUUUUAAUUAACAUUUGUAUUCAUUUGUCUAAAAUUAUUUUUAUAAUUAAAAACAACUUUUGACAAUGGAUCUCUUGGUUCUCGCACGAUGAAGAACGCAGUAAAAUGCGAUAAGUAGUGUGAAUUGCAGAAUACGUGAAUCAUCAAAUCUUCGAACGCAUAUUGCGCUUCUUUAGUUUACUAAAAAGUAUGUCUGUUUGAGUAUCAGUAAAAUAUUCUCAUAAAAACUUUUUUGUUUUUAUGGUUAUGAGUGUUUUACAACGAUAAACAAGUUGUUUCACUUUAAAUUCUUUGUCUUUUAAAAAUCAUUUAAAAACUGAUUCUUUUUUAAAAUUGGAUAAAUUUUCCCGUAAAAAGGAAUAACCUAAACAAUUUUAAUAAAAUGAAUUAGUUUGAUUUUUUAGAAAAAGACCAAAAGGAAAAAAAGUAAAAAUUAACUUGAUCUCAAAUCAGAUAAGAGUACCCGCUGAACUUAAGCAUAUCAAUAAGCGGAGGAAAAGAAACUAACUAGGAUUCCUCAGUAACGGCGAGUGAAGCGGGAAGAGCUCAAAUUUGAAAUCUUCAAGGUUCUACCUUGACGAAUGUAGUUUAAAGAAGUGUUUUCUGUUGGAGUUUUGGUAAAAGUUCUUUGGAAUAGGACAUCAUAGAGGGUGAGAAUCCCGUAUUUGACCAUUUCUUCCAGCUGUGUGAUACACUUUCAAAGAGUCGGAUUGUUUGGGAAUGCAGUCCAAAAUGGUGGUAAAUUUCAUCUAAAGCUAAAUAUUGGCGAGAGACCGAUAGCGAACAAGUACCGUGAGGGAAAGAUGAAAAGAACUUUGAAAGAGAGUUAACAGUACGUGAAAUUGUCAAAAGGGAAGCGUUUGACACCAGUGUUGUUUCUCGAAAAUCAAUUAAAAAUGACCGGAUUUUGUGUUGUAUUGACUUUAUCAGCUUUCUGCACUUUUUCUUGUCUUUUUUAAUGCACUUUUCGUUUAACAAGUCAACAUCAAUUUCUUCUGUUGUAAAAGAGUCAUUGGAAGGUGGCUUUCACUUCGGUGAAAGUUUUAUAGCCUUGACUUCUGCAAUCGGAGAGAUUGAGGUUUGCAGCGUAGAUCCUUCGGGGUUAGAUACAUUUGUGCUAAGUUAUAGUUUUUCAUAGACAACAUGUUGACUAUGAUUAAUCAUGUAGCUUACUCGCUUAUGCUAUUUUACCUACGCUUAGGAUGUUGAA